UAGAGAAUCUUCCACAAUGGACGCAAGUCUGAUGGAGCAACGCCGCGCGAGUGAAGAAGGUCUUCGGAUCGUAAAACUCUGUUGUUAGAGAAGAACACGAGUGAGAGUAACUGUUCAUUCGAUGACGGUAUCUAACCAGCAAGUCACGGCUAACUACGUACCAG
This 164-nucleotide ribosomal RNA is filed under the name uncultured bacterium. RNAcentral's name for it is "partial 16S rRNA". It matches the Rfam family "Bacterial small subunit ribosomal RNA", at positions 355 to 511 of the family's 1533-position model. The record is from RNAcentral.